GACGAACGCUGGCGGCGUGCCUAAUACAUGCAAGUUGAGCGAUGAAGAUUGGUGCUUGCCCCAAUUUGAAGAGCAGCGAACGGGUGAGUAACGCGUGGGGAAUCUGCCUUUGAGCGGGGGACAACAUUUGGAAACGAAUGCUAAUACCGCAUAACAACUUUAAACAUAAGUUUUAAGUUUGAAAGAUGCAAUUGCAUCACUCAAAGAUGAUCCCGCGUUGUAUUAGCUAGUUGGUGAGGUAAAGGCUCACCAAGGCGAUGAUACAUAGCCGACCUGAGAGGGUGAUCGGCCACAUUGGGACUGAGACACGGCCCAAACUCCUACGGGAGGCAGCAGUAGGGAAUCUUCGGCAAUGGGCGAAAGUCUGACCGAGCAACGCCGCGUGAGUGAAGAAGGUUUUCGGAUCGUAAAACUCUGUUGGUAGAGAAGAACGUUGGUGAGAGUGGAAAGCUCAUCAAGUGACGGUAACUACCCAGAAAGGGACGGCUAACUACGUG
RNAcentral lists this ribosomal RNA (497 nucleotides) under uncultured bacterium. RNAcentral describes it as "partial 16S ribosomal RNA". It matches the Rfam family "Bacterial small subunit ribosomal RNA", at positions 28 to 507 of the family's 1533-position model. The record is from RNAcentral.